CACAGCAGGCUUUAUCGCUGCUCAGCAGUUCCUAUUCCCCUCCCUGUAUCUUGAACUCUUCAGCAAGAGCCCACAGCUGAGGGAGGAAGUUAAAGGAGCUAUCAAGCAGCCGGAGAGCACAGUAGGCUGAAAGAUCCUUGGUUGCUUUAAAGCAGAGAACAGUUUUGUGCUGACGUGACUGCUCAGAUUCAGCUGCCAGUGCAUCUGUGGGGGCAGGUGAGUGUCUGGCAGAGAGACACACCGCAUCAACUCUUGGCAUUUCAGUCAGCCUGAGCUCAUGACAGGUGCUGGGCUGCUGCCUGCUAACUGUACCCUGUACACCUCAUGGAUAGUGAAAUCAAGGGGGGAGGUACUGGAUCCAUUGUUGGUGCCUCCAAACCUGAGUGUAGGGUGCUAGAUUCCCUCAAACAAAAACGUGCUCAAAAAAAAUACAACUUCUCAUUUGAUGUCGAUAGUGUUGCUAAUUAUCAUCCUGACUCUAAGGUGGGGCAAGGUUGUGUUAAUGGUGACAGCAAGGCAACUUGGGCGCCAUCUGGAAUCCUCUCGUGGCUUUGUUCAGGAUCUGGUUUGGGUCUCCUCCCAGCAAUAGACAAAGCUCAAGUGUCUAUGCUAUAGCUUUGAUGCUGUUGACUAUAAGGUUUUGUCUCAACUGUGGAGCCUGGCUGGAGUAGACUGUAUGGUAACUCAUCUUCCCUUUAAGCUGUGCGCAACAUUCCGUUUAACUUGGUACCUACCACACAUCUCACAUGGCUUGGAGCACAGCCAGCACCUAGAACAGCUCCUCUUGGUGCUGGGGAUGGGCUGACAGACACGCUCGGGUGGAAGGCCAAGAUGGUAGCGAGGUGAACCCUCAUGGAGAACACCGCCAGGUCUUGCUGUUUCAGGUGCAGGAAGUACUCCAGAAUGAGAGGCACUAAUGCCUGGAGGGUGCGUGUGCAGCGAUGGUCACACCAACACGAAAAGUGUUUCCACUUCGCCAGAUAUGUGGCUCUAGUAGAGGACUUCCUGCUGCCCAGCAGGACCUGCCUUACGGGGUCCAAACAUAAAGCUCCAUAGGGUUCAGCCAUGCAGCAUCCAUGCCGUGAGGUGGAGAGACCGCAGGUCGGGAUGACAGAGGCAACCGUGAUCCUGAGUAAGCAGGUCGGAAAGAAGAGGCAAUGGGACUGGAACCUCCACCGACAGCUCUAACAGCGUGGUGUACCAACUCUGAUGAGGCCACGCUGGAGCCACCAGAAUCACCCUCGCCCCAUCUCUGUGGAUCUUGAGCAGGACCUUGUGCACAAGGGGGAACGGAGGAAAGGCGUAGAGUAGGCAACCCAUCCGAGGAAGCAGAAAAGCGUCCGUGAGGGAGCCCGGGCAGUGACCCUGGAAGGAGCAGAAUGUGGGACACUUCUUGUUGCUGCAGGUGGAAAACAGGUCCACCUGGGGAAACUCCCACCUUUGGAAGAUCGGGUGGACGACAUCUAUUCAGAGAGACCACUCAUGCGAGUUGAAGGACCUGCUGAGGUGGUCCAUCAGCAUGUUCUGGAUCCCGGGAAGAAAGAACACAACCAGGUGAAUGGAGUGGGCUAUGCAGAAUUCCCACAGCCGAAUGGCUUCCUGGCAGAGAGUGGAGGAACGUGUCCCCCUUGCUUGUUGAUGUAGAAAAUGGCCAUGGUGUUGACCAUGAAAGCCACCACCCAAUGACCCUGCAGGUGCUCCUGGAAGGCUUGGCAAGCAAGGCACACCACCAUUAACUCCCUGAUGUUCAUAUGGAAGGAGAGCUCGGCCCACGACCACAGGCUGUGAGUCUGAAGGUUCUCCAGAUGAGCCCCCCAUCCCAUAGCCGACGCAUCUGUGACCAGAGACAAGGAAGGCUGGGGGUUCAGGAAGGGGACUCCCUCGCACACCACUUGGGGGUUGAGCCACCAGCAGAGGGAGGCGAUGACCCACUUCAGGACAGUGACGGCCGAAUUCAGGCUGUCGUGCCCCAGGCAGUAGAUGGAGGCAAGCCAAGCUUUUAGCAACCAGAGCCAGAGCCUGGCAUGCUGGGUCACAUAUGUACAUGAAGCCAUGUGGCCAAGGAGGCUCAGGCAUCCCCUUGCUGUCAAGGUCAGGACUCACUGAAGGCCUCAAAUGAUGCCCAUAAUGGCCUGGAAACGGGAGUCCAGUAGGAGGGCCCCUGCCUGAACAGAGUCCAGCACCACCACGAUGAAUUUGAUCCUCUGGAUUGGUUCCAGGGUAGACUUUGGCACGUUGAGGAGACCCAGCCAUUCAAUGGUAAACCUGACCGAGAGGAAGAGGGACUGCACCUGCUCUCUGGUGCAGUCCCGAAGCAACCAGCUGUCAAGGUAGGGAUACACCUGCACCUGCCGUCGAUGGAGAAAGGCAGCCAUGACUGACAUACACUUGGUGAACACUCGUGGGGCUGUGGAAAGGCUGAAUGGAAGGACCAUAAACUGGUAAAAAGUUAGUCGUUGACCACAAAGUGCAGGAAGUGCCUGGGCGCCAGAUGAAUCGCUAUGUGGAAAUACACAUCUUUCAUGUCAAGGGUGGCGUACCAGUCUCCAGGAUCCAGGGAAGGGAUAAUGGUGCCCAGGGAGAACUCGCAGAACUUCAAUUUUACCAUGAACUUGUUGAACCCACAAAGGUCCAGAAUGGGCUGUAAGCAACCGUUGGCCUUGGGAAUCAGGAAGUAUGGGAAGUAGAACCUCUUGUCCCUUAGUUCCUGCAGAAACUCCUCUACCGCUCUCAAGCACAACCUCAGUACCUGAUUGAUGAACUGCAACUUCAAAAUCACGUGAAUUUUCACAUUCAGGAUCUGCAGGAACACAAGAGCCCAAGGGCCUACAAAGAAACCCUCAACAGUGCAUCAACACAUUCUGUUCCCAGCAAGAAUAUUGUUGUGAACCCUCAAUUAUGAAGAACUGCACACAGUGUAUAACGAGCCCAUAAGGGUAAGGAUUCACUACAACAGCAAAGGUGUGAUCACCACCGAUCUAAGUCACAACAGUGGGACUGAAAAAAUCAGGUUGCGUAUGUGAGUACAAAUACCCAUCAGUAGAUGCAUCAAGGAAGUGAUCUUGAAUACAGUUAGAGACAAAAUCACUCAGGACUUUAAAUUAAAAAAAAAAAAACAACCCACGGGCAGUUCAGUCACUUUCUAGACAGCUACCAUAAAGAAAGCAGGGUGGGAGCACUUUAUGACCAGCGGUGCUCAAAACGCUGGCAGUCACUGUUGUGAGGAUGUCCUAGCUGCAGACUGCACAAAUGGAGCAAGUGAGAAAUCAGCAAUCACAGAAACAGAUUUCUUGGCAAAUUAAUCACAAGAGGAAUUGCUUUCACUUUUGGUCACACCUCUCUCCAGCGCCAGCGACAGGGUGUCUCAGUCAAGACUGCCUGAUUAUGAAACUCAACCCACUCGAUACAAAGGUAAUAAGUAACUUUUCUGGGCCCAGCAGCCAGCAAUUUGAAACAGAUUAUUUUUUGCAACAAAAAUUAUGACAGAGCUAUAGAUAACAGACAGAUGGGAAAACAAGAAAUGAAAAGCUUAUGGGUCAAAUUCAGAGAUGCUGUAGAAAGUGGUACAAGUUACACACCAGGAAAUGGGUGUAAGGAAGCUACAAGGGUGUAGGUAAUUUACACACUUGCGGGAGGAGCGGACAUGACACAAGUUGAAGUGUGUAGUGGGGGAGAGGGGUUACAUUUACAUACACCUUCUGACACCCUCCUGUUAGUUGUUUUUCCUGCUGUACUUCUAUCUUCCAGCCACUGCGUCUGCAAGGUUUACUAUUUAGUUACACUUCCCUCUUAUUGGCCUAUAUCUUAACACCACAUAGCCUCUGAAUUUGUCCCACUGAAUCUGCUCUUGGGCGGAAAGCAUCUUCUUAUGCCAUAGCCUCCAUUAACAUAGGAGUACCCCUCCUCUGAACCAGAAGCAACGGCCAUGGCUGCAUAGGCCAGCAGGGUUCAUGAGGGCUGCUUUUCAGUUGGUCCUUAGUCUUACUUAACUGUAACACAAAUACCAGUGAAAUAUUAGUUUUUGUUCAGAAAAUGCCGUGCCCUGUAUAUGGCCCAUGCUUAGCCUAGCUAGCUGAACUAACAGCCUUGCAACUAAAUAACGAACAUAAGGUGAGGAGCUUUUUUUCUUCAAAGUGAAUUUUGUUCCAUAGACCCAUUGCUGUACCUCAUUACAACAUAAAGACAUGAAUCUGCUGGAGAUAAUAGACUGACACUUUCACCUUUUCCAUGGGUUUGGAUUAUUACAGUGUUUUUGCUACUGAUAAGUUUUCUUGAUUUUUAAUUUUUUUUUUCAUUUUUAAGAUUUUCAGACUUUCUGUUAUAUAUCAUUUCACAAUGGGUGACUUAUUUAGGAACAAAUUAUGAAGGGGAGUGGUGGAUCAUGUGUCGUUUGAUCUCUUCAGAUCAAGACUGGAUGCAUUUCAGGGAGUUAUGCUUUAGACAAACACAAGUUAUUGGGUUCAAUACAGGGGUAACUGGCUGAAAUUCUCUGGCCUGUGACAUACAGGAGGUCAGAUUAGAUGAUCUAAUGGUCCCUGUCGGUCUUAAACCUCCUUACACUAUGAAUAAUAAUACUUUGUUUGGAUCCUUCAUCUUUAUGGAGAUUUACAAACAUUAAUUCUCAAAACCACUCUCUGAGAUCGGUGUUAAACUCCUUUUUACACAGGGGAAAACUGAAGAACAAAGAGAUUAAAGGUUAAAUUUC
Molecule: long non-coding RNA, 4705 nt
Organism: Gopherus evgoodei (Goodes thornscrub tortoise)
Lineage: Eukaryota; Metazoa; Chordata; Testudines; Testudinidae
Exons: 4
Source: RefSeq, a predicted model, not a curated record